RNAcentral lists this transfer RNA (72 nucleotides) under Camelus bactrianus (Bactrian camel). It matches the Rfam family "tRNA". Rfam says of the family: Transfer RNA (tRNA) molecules are approximately 80 nucleotides in length. Their secondary structure includes four short double-helical elements and three loops (D, anti-codon, and T loops). The record is from Rfam by way of RNAcentral. RNAcentral also lists the same sequence under 3 other names. Lineage: Eukaryota; Metazoa; Chordata; Mammalia; Artiodactyla; Camelidae.
AGGGAAAUAGCUCAGUGGUAGAGCACAUGCUUAGCAUUCACGAGGCCCUGGGUUCAAUCCCUAGUACCUCUA